Molecule: ribosomal RNA, 306 nt
Filed under: Triticum aestivum (bread wheat)
Lineage: Eukaryota; Viridiplantae; Streptophyta; Magnoliopsida; Poales; Poaceae
Description: partial small subunit ribosomal RNA
Source: RNAcentral
AUGACAAGUGCCAAGUGGCGCCAAGGCAUGUCGGAGGUGGCACCAUGGUUUUUGGAAGAGGGGGGCCGGCCUGCCGGGAUUCAUCAGCACAUAGUUGCCCCACCUAUCAGGAUAGGUAAACGCAUCUCGAUUUCUCGAGGAAUGUCUUACCUGUUCCAUUUAAAUGUGAUUCAUGCUGAUGCUUCCAUGAAAGAUAUCAUCAUCGGUGCAAAAUGGAAUCUACUACUCCCUCCGUUCCAUAAUUCUUGUCAUGGUUUUAGUUCAAAUAAAUUAAAACCACGACAAGAAUUAUGGAACGGAUACUAG